Molecule: ribosomal RNA, 653 nt
Filed under: Mastacembelus armatus (zig-zag eel)
Lineage: Eukaryota; Metazoa; Chordata; Actinopteri; Synbranchiformes; Mastacembelidae
Description: partial large subunit ribosomal RNA
Rfam family: Bacterial large subunit ribosomal RNA
Source: RNAcentral
GCGGAAAAAAUUGAACGGAUCCGCGGCUGACAAAAAAACGUCCGGGUUUUUGAGAAGACGCGAGGACCGUUUAAGGUAGCGCAAUCACUUGUCUUUUAAAUGAAGACCUGUAUGAAUGGCAUAACGAAGGCUUAACUGUCUCCUUUCUCUAGUCAAUGAAAUUGAUCUCCCCGUGCAGAAGCGGGGAUAAUCCCAUAAGACGAGAAGACCCUGUGGAGCUUUAGACACAAAGCAGAUCUGGCAAACCCACACCCCCCCAAGCUAAAAGAACCCUGCUCUAAUGUCUUCGGUUGGGGCGACCACGGGGAAACAAACAACCCCCACGCAGAAUAAGAGAACACCCUCUUAAAAACGAGAGCCACCACUCCAAAAAACAGAACUUCUGACUACAAGAUCCGGAAACACCGAUCAACGAACCAAGUUACCCCAGGGAUAACAGCGCAAUCCUCUUCAAGAGCCCAUAUCGACAGGGGGUUUACGACCUCGAUGUUGGAUCAGGACAUCCUAAUGGUGCAGCCGCUAUUAAGGGUUCGUUUGUUCAACGAUUAAAGUCCUACGUGAUCUGAGUUCAGACCGGAUCCCCGCCUGUUUAUCAAAGAAAUAUACGUGAGUUGAGUUUACAGAGGAUCCGGCGGUUUUGCAAAAAAAUUGUU